Molecule: ribosomal RNA, 261 nt
Filed under: uncultured bacterium
Lineage: Bacteria
Description: partial 16S ribosomal RNA
Rfam family: Bacterial small subunit ribosomal RNA
Source: RNAcentral
GUCCACGCCGUAAACGUUGGGCACUAGGUGUGGGUUCCAACCAACGGAAUCCGCGCCGUCGCAAACGCAUUAAGUGCCCCGCCUGGGGAGUACGAUCGCAAGAUUAAAACUCAAAGGAAUUGACGGGGCCCGCACAAGCAGCGGAGCGUGUUGCUUAAUUCGAUGCAACGCGAAGAACCUUACCUGGGCUUGACAUGUACGGAAAAGCCGUAGAGAUACGGUGUCCUUCGGGGCCGUACACAGGUGGUGCAUGGCUGUCGU